UCUCUCUCUCUCUCACUCAUGUGGCUAAACCUAUAAAUAGGCCAAAAGAUAUACAAAGAAAAGACGCACAACUCAACUCACAUAACAUGAUUUUUAGUAGUUUCUAUGUAAGAGUAGUCACUUAGCAUUUAGGAGUAGUUCAGCUAUACCUUGUUACUGUCGAUCUAUAGAUUGAUAUUAUCAAUGGAAUGGCUUAUACUCCAUGUCUAAAAAUUGUCAGUGUUAUGGUGGUAGUUGUACCAAUUGUUGCCAACAUGAUCGUAUGACAAAUUACAUGGAAAGAAUGAUUCGACGUUGUUAGGAUGAAAUUUAUCGGUGCAAAAGUGAAACUUUGGCCCUACAAGGAGAAAUUAAUUCUCUUUAUCGGAAAGGCAUAGAACUCAACCACAUUGCCUGAUCUGUUAUUGUUUUGUGAAGAUUUUGGUUUAUCUGUCAAUUUGCUUCUGUCGAUCUCAUUCAAACUAUUUUUUUGCCAAAAUAAAUUGUUACACCCAGUGGGAUUGUUCUAAUUUGGAAUUAUGGCACUGAAGAAGUAGGCUGAUGCAUAUGAAAUAAUGCCUUCAAGUGGCAUGUUUACAUCUUGUAUACUCAUGGAUGAAAACCACCAAUGGAGUGGCAAUGUUCCCAUGGAUAUAGAUUAUCAGUGGAAUGCUUUAUACUUCAUGUCUAAAAAUUGUCAAUGUUAUGGUGGUUGUUGUACCAUUUAUUGCCAACAUGAUGGUAUGACAAAUGACAUGGGAAAAUGAUUCGGCAUUGUAAGGAUGAAAUUUAUUGGUGCGGGAGUGAAACUUUGGCCCUACAAGGAGAAAUUAAUUCUCUUUAUCGGCAAAGAUUUCAAGUAAUUUGAUCAUCUUUGUAUUAUUUGAUGCAAAGAGAUUUAGAUUACUUUGAUUAAAAAAUUCAUCAACUUGAAGGCCAAAUUUACCUAAUUGAUUAAGAAAUUCGACAUUUGGAGUAGAAAUUCGAAGGCAUAAUAGCCAAUAAAAAAUUAAGGUAUGAAAAUAAUAUGACUCGUAAACUUAAUACACCUGCUUUUAGAGAGCCAAUUAUUUAUGAAGAGUCAAAGUAUGUGGCUCAGAUGGUUAAUACACUUAUUUCCAUAGAGCAAAUAAUUUAUGAAGAGCCAAGAUAUGUGGCUCGGGAGGUUUAUUUUUAAAUAGCCUACUAUUAAUAAAGAACCAAGGUAUGUGGCUUUUUGGGUUAAUAUACCUGUUUUUAGAUAACCAAGUCAUAAAGAUAAAAUGAAUAGGGAAGGUUUUCAUAAUUCAUUAAUGGCUAAAAAAGAAAAACAACCAAUUUUCUCCAAAUAUAUAUAUAUAUAUAU
Molecule: non-coding RNA, 1324 nt
Organism: Camellia sinensis
Lineage: Eukaryota; Viridiplantae; Streptophyta; Magnoliopsida; Ericales; Theaceae
Source: RefSeq, a predicted model, not a curated record